This 317-nucleotide small nuclear RNA is filed under the name Meriones unguiculatus (Mongolian gerbil). RNAcentral describes it as "7SK RNA (ENSMUGG00000007630.1)". It matches the Rfam family "7SK RNA". Rfam says of the family: 7SK was discovered as an abundant small nuclear RNA in the mid-70s but a possible function has only recently been suggested. Two independent studies have found that 7SK RNA binds the CDK9/cyclin T complex (known as elongation factor P-TEFb). The record is from RNAcentral. Lineage: Eukaryota; Metazoa; Chordata; Mammalia; Rodentia; Muridae.
AGAUGAGGGCGGUCUGGCUGUGACAUAUGUCACCCCAUUGAUCGCCAGGGUUGAUUAGGCUGAUCUGGCAGGUGAGGAGGGUGUCUCCUUCCUCCCUCAUCGCUCCAUGGCUCCAUGUGUGUCCCUCCCGAAGCUGUGAGCUAGGUCGAAGAGGAAGACUUUCCCUGAAUAGAGGAGGACCGGUCUUCAGUCAAGGUCUUCAGUCAAGUAGCUGCUCUCCCCUGCUAGAACCUCCAAACAAGCUCAAGACCCAUAAUAUAUAUUUUAUAAAUAAAAUAUUUUUCAGAAAGUAUUUUUUUCAAAAUCUACUUUAAUGG